RNAcentral lists this long non-coding RNA (735 nucleotides) under Arabidopsis lyrata. RNAcentral's name for it is "long non-coding RNA (ALYR_LNC000267)". The record is from RNAcentral. Lineage: Eukaryota; Viridiplantae; Streptophyta; Magnoliopsida; Brassicales; Brassicaceae.
GGGAGAGUAGACCUAGAAGAUUCAAAGUGGAUAAAAGGAGCAUUUCACACCAAGUCUGCUCGAAGAAGCAAACCGUGAAGACUCAAAGUUGAUAGAAGAAUGCUUUCACACCAAGUCUGCUGGAAGAAGCAAACCGUGAAGACUCAAAGUUGAUAGAAGAAUGCUUUCACACCAAGACCGUUCGAAGAAAUAAUCCGUGAAGCCUCAUAGUUGUUAGAAGUAGACUUUCACAAUCAAGUCUGUUCGAAGGAGCAAAACUUGAAGAUGUGAAGUUGAUAAGAAUACGGAUUUCUCACCAAGAUUGUUGAAGAAACAAAUCGUGAAGGGCUGUAAUGAGUUAAACUUCACAUCGAAGCUUGAGGAAGAACAAGUCGUGAAGUAAAUCAGUAUCCGAGUAUGGACAGAAGCUAGAAGUGUCAAUCAAGAACCAUUCAAGAAUUGAGCAACAAGUCAGAAGCCAAGCUCAAGAAAGGUUAAUUGAUGGCAGGGGGAGCUUCUUUAAAAAUCGCACACCAAAACAUUGUUAAGAGUCAUGGCAAAGAGAGAAGACUCAAGGCCAUAAGCAAGACUCUACCACCAUCCGUUGAAAAGGCUGUCCUCUAAACUCUAUCUAUUUUCAUUACCCUAGUUCCAUUCAUUGCCAUUAUUCUCUAAUAGGGUCUCUUAGCUUAUGACAUUGAAAACUUUUGAUAUUCCUCAUAGCACACACUUAAUCUUUCUUCUUUAUCUCUUGUU